GCAUGGUUGGUUUAGUGGCAUAAUUACCGCCUGCCAACUUGUUGACCGCGGUAGACCCGGGUUCGAUUCCCGGACCAUGCA
RNAcentral lists this transfer RNA (81 nucleotides) under Blyttiomyces helicus. It matches the Rfam family "tRNA". Rfam says of the family: Transfer RNA (tRNA) molecules are approximately 80 nucleotides in length. Their secondary structure includes four short double-helical elements and three loops (D, anti-codon, and T loops). Further hydrogen bonds mediate the characteristic L-shaped molecular structure. tRNAs have two regions of fundamental functional importance: the anti-codon, which is responsible for specific mRNA codon recognition, and the 3' end, to which the tRNAs corresponding amino acid is attached (by aminoacyl-tRNA synthetases). tRNAs cope with the degeneracy of the genetic code in two manners: having more than one tRNA (with a specific anti-codon) for a particular amino acid; and 'wobble' base-pairing, i.e. permitting non-standard base-pairing at the 3rd anti-codon position. Lineage: Eukaryota; Fungi; Chytridiomycota; Chytridiomycetes. The record is from Rfam by way of RNAcentral.